UACGUAGGGACCGAGCGUUAUCCGGAAUUAUUGGGCGUAAAGCGCGUGUAGGCGGUCCGUUAAGUCGGCUGUGAAAUCUCAGGGCUUAACCCUGAAACUGCGGUCGAUACUGGCGGACUUGAGGUAGGUAGAGGAGAGUGGAAUUCCCGGUGUAGCGGUGGAAUGCGCAGAUAUCGGGAGGAACACCAAUGGCGAAGGCAGCUCUCUGGGCCUUACCUGACGCUGAGACGCGAAAGCGUGGGUAGCAAACAGG
RNAcentral lists this ribosomal RNA (253 nucleotides) under uncultured bacterium. Its description in RNAcentral is "partial 16S ribosomal RNA". It matches the Rfam family "Bacterial small subunit ribosomal RNA", at positions 524 to 776 of the family's 1533-position model. The record is from RNAcentral.